This 373-nucleotide long non-coding RNA is filed under the name Homo sapiens (human). RNAcentral describes it as "HSALNT0023650". The record is from RNAcentral. Lineage: Eukaryota; Metazoa; Chordata; Mammalia; Primates; Hominidae.
GGAUGACGAUGGAGGGAGGGUCACUAAUGGGAGAACCUUAUGACCAACUUUGCCCAAGAAAAGCCUGAACUAGCCUGUACAACACUGUGCCCCCUCUGAGAGUUGGGGAGCACACCUUAAAGGUAAGGGCCCUUCCCUUUGGACUCCAUGCCUGACACAAGAGUCUCAGGCAACUCGAUGCAACUUGGAUGACGGGACUAACUGAAUCACUCAUAUCCUCGCUCAAGGCGUUUGAAUGUGAAACAGACACAAGAAAAGUGUAUUUAUAGGGAGCAGCAGGAGCAAUAGGACAGUGAAAGAGAGGAACUGAUCCACAACAUGAAGGAACCGGAGGGGAACAAUGGAAGGCUAUGAUGUCCCCAAGGCUGCUGGU